GACGAACGCUGGCGGCGUGCUUAACACAUGCAAGUCGAACGGAAAGGCCCUGCUUGCAGGGUACUCGAGUGGCGAACGGGUGAGUAACACGUGGGUGAUCUGCCCUGCACUUCGGGAUAAGCCUGGGAAACUGGGUCUAAUACCGGAUAGGAGCCAGUUUUAGUGUGAUGGUUGGAAAGUUUUUUCGGUGUAGGAUGAGCUCGCGGCCUAUCAGCUUGUUGGUGGGGUAAUGGCCUACCAAGGCGGCGACGGGUAGCCGGCCUGAGAGGGUGGACGGCCACAUUGGGACUGAGAGACGGCCCAGACUCCUACGGGAGGCAGAAGGGGGGAAUCUUGCACAAUGGGCGCAAGCCUGAUGCAGCGACGCCGCGUGGGGGAUGACGGCCUUCGGGUUGUAAACUCCUUUCGCUAGGGACGAAGCUUUUUGUGACGGUACCUAGAUAAGAAGCACCGGCUAACUACGUG
RNAcentral lists this ribosomal RNA (465 nucleotides) under uncultured bacterium. RNAcentral's name for it is "partial 16S ribosomal RNA". It matches the Rfam family "Bacterial small subunit ribosomal RNA", at positions 28 to 507 of the family's 1533-position model. The record is from RNAcentral.